AUUGAACGCUGGCGGCAUGCUUUACACAUGCAAGUCGAACGGCAGCGGGGGCUUCGGCCUGCCGGCGAGUGGCGAACGGGUGAGUAAUGCAUCGGAACGUGCCCAUGUCGUGGGGGAUAACGUAGCGAAAGCUACGCUAAUACCGCAUACGUCCUGAGGGAGAAAGCGGGGGAUCUUUGGACCUCGCGCGAUUGGAGCGGCCGAUGUCGGAUUAGCUAGUAGGUGAGGUAAAGGCUCACCUAGGCGACGAUCCGUAGCGGGUCUGAGAGGAUGAUCCGCCACACUGGGACUGAGACACGGCCCAGACUCCUACGGGAGGCAGCAGUGGGGAAUUUUGGGACAAUGGGGGCAACCCUGAUCCAGCCAUGCCGCGUGAGUGAAGAAGGCCUCGGUGUAAG
This 398-nucleotide ribosomal RNA is filed under the name uncultured bacterium. RNAcentral describes it as "bacterial SSU rRNA". It matches the Rfam family "Bacterial small subunit ribosomal RNA", at positions 28 to 429 of the family's 1533-position model. The record is from RNAcentral.